GCCUCGGGACCCCCCGAGAGGAGCGCAGUGAACACCCCCUCCCACCUGACCCCCCCCGCGGCGGAAGCCCCCCACGUUCGCCCAGGACACGUCCAGGUUCUGGUACAAACCGGGGAUGUCUCGGAACAAGCCGUGGCGCUGCUGAAGGCUUGCGAGCCGGGCCGUUCCUCACUCCGGGACAGCACCUCGUCCGGGGGGUUACGGGCUGGCGCUGCGUGUGGCACAGCCCCCCCGGCUGCCCCCCGCGGGGAAAGGGGACCCCGUGAGCAGCUCGUCCGCCACUUCCUGAUCGAGACCGGCCCGAGGGGCGUGAAAAUCCGGGGGGGCGGAGGAGCCGCACUUCGGCAGCCUCCCCGCGCUGGUGCUGCAGCAUUCCAUCCGGCCCAUGUCGCUGCCUGCGCGCUGCGCAUCCCUGCCACGACCCACUGGAGAGGGGGGAGCACCGGACCCCCAACGUCCAGCACCGCCGCGGAG
Coturnix japonica (Japanese quail) is the source of this 474-nucleotide non-coding RNA. NCBI's taxonomy places the organism in Eukaryota, Metazoa, Chordata, Aves, Galliformes, Phasianidae. The record is from RefSeq and is a predicted model, not a curated record.